Molecule: non-coding RNA, 28 nt
Filed under: Homo sapiens (human)
Lineage: Eukaryota; Metazoa; Chordata; Mammalia; Primates; Hominidae
Source: RNAcentral
UGAGUUCUGGUGAGACGGAGACCCCGGU